RNAcentral lists this long non-coding RNA (1176 nucleotides) under Piliocolobus tephrosceles (Ugandan red Colobus). RNAcentral's name for it is "lncRNA (ENSPTEG00000009450.1)". Lineage: Eukaryota; Metazoa; Chordata; Mammalia; Primates; Cercopithecidae. The record is from RNAcentral.
CCUCACUUCCCACAUGGGGCAGCGACCAGGCAGAGACGUUCCUCACUUCCCAGACGGGGCGGCGGCCGGGUAGAGGCCCAACUCCCCAGACGGUAGGGGGCGCUGGGCAGAGGAGCUCGUCACUUCCCAGAUGGUGGGGCAGCCGGGCAGAGGCACACCCCACUUCCCAGACGGGGCGGCAGCCGGGCAGAGGCACUCCCCACUUCCCAGAUGGGGUGUCCUUUGCCAAUUUUUAUAAAAAAAUUUGGCAUAGUGCUUGCAUACAUUUGCAGGUUGUAUUCCAGAUGCCUUGACUCCAAUAAUGUAAGAGAAAACACAAUGAGUGCACCUGCAGUCAAAGGAGGCUUUCAGGAGGGCACACUUGAUUUGCUCCACAAGGCUGGGGGAGGCACUCAGUAGACUAUUUUCAGAGAAGAGAAUGUCCCAGCUAGAAAUGCAAGUGCACGAGUGCCAACCCAGUGAGGUCAAUGAUUUGCGAGUGGAGACCCUGAGCACUUGCCAAGCUGUGUGGCGAUCAGCUGGUGAUUUUGCUGCAAAGCACCAUCAACUCCGUGGAGCUUGCCAAGACAGUGACAGCCCAGCAAGUCUUCAGGGAUGUGUCCUGCAGAGGUAAGUGGGAAUGGGGCACAGUCUUGGGGUUCUAGGACUCGAUCGUUCCUAGGCUACCUCCUUUCUCUGGAGACAGUCCGGUAUAGUAGUUAGAAGUACAGUUUUAAAUGCAGAGUCAUCUCAGUGAGUUCACAUCUUGGCUGUGCUUCUCACUAGCUAUGCAGCCUUGGGCAAAUGACUUCUAGCUUGUGCCUCUGUUUCCUCAUUGGAAAAACAGAGGUAAAAAUAACUGUUACCUUUAGGGAUUUUUAGUGAGGGUGGUGUGAGGUGCUGAGAACAGGGCUCGCUCUGCAAUGGUUUCGCAGUGGUUUAUCUGUGAUUACUGCCUGGAAGAGCAGGCUUCGCCUCCAACUGGGCGUGGGUAUUAAGCUUUCGCUGUGUGCUAAGCACUGUGCCAGGCAUGGAGAAUGCACACAGAGAAGACAGCCCCUGCCCUCAGCGAGCUCCCUGUAGGCUAGGGAGGGUGAGGCUGUCCACACGGUGAGACGGUGCAGGACAGCAUGCACUGGGCUGCUUAGACGGGAGCUGCAGUGCCCGCAGGACGGCAAGCAGGCGGCGGUCAGGGGA